AUUUGUAUAGCUUAUAAAGAGUAUGGCGUUGAAGGUGCCAGGGAAGUAUUAUUAUUUACAAAUA
Molecule: transfer RNA, 64 nt
Filed under: Laccoptera ruginosa
Lineage: Eukaryota; Metazoa; Arthropoda; Insecta; Coleoptera; Chrysomelidae
Description: tRNA-Phe
Source: RNAcentral